UUUACAAUUUGACUACUGCUUCAGAUCUUAAUAAUAGACUGAAGUGGUUAUGCUUGUGGGAUAGAUUAACCCUGCCAUGAUCUGAAGAGGGCAGAUUAUUUUUAAUGACCUCCUCCUAUAUGAAAUGGCUGUACAUUAAAAU
Molecule: small nucleolar RNA, 142 nt
Filed under: Echinops telfairi (small Madagascar hedgehog)
Lineage: Eukaryota; Metazoa; Chordata; Mammalia; Afrosoricida; Tenrecidae
Description: Small nucleolar RNA SNORA29 (ENSETEG00000023071.1)
Rfam family: Small nucleolar RNA SNORA29
About the family: ACA29 is a member of the H/ACA class of snoRNA that guide the sites of modification of uridines to pseudouridines.
Source: RNAcentral